This 475-nucleotide ribosomal RNA is filed under the name uncultured bacterium. RNAcentral describes it as "bacterial SSU rRNA". It matches the Rfam family "Bacterial small subunit ribosomal RNA", at positions 36 to 507 of the family's 1533-position model. The record is from RNAcentral.
CUGGCGGCAUGCCUUACACAUGCAAGUCGAACGGCAGCACGGGGCAACCUUGGUGGCGAGUGGCGAACGGGUGAGUAAAGCAUCGGAACGUGCCCUGGAGUGGGGGAUAACGUAGCGAAAGUUACGCUAAUACCGCAUAUUCUGUGAGCAGGAAAGCAGGGGAUCGCAAGACCUUGCGCUCUGGGAGCGGCCGAUGUCGGAUUAGCUAGUUGGUGGGGUAAAGGCCUACCAAGGCGACGAUCCGUAGCGGGUCUGAGAGGAUGAUCCGCCACACUGGGACUGAGACACGGCCCAGACUCCUACGGGAGGCAGCAGUGGGGAAUUUUGGACAAUGGGCGGAAGCCUGAUCCAGCCAUGCCGCGUGAGUGAAGAAGGCCUUCGGGUUGUAAAGCUCUUUCGGCGGGGAAGAAAUUGCACGGGUUAAUACCCUGUGUAGAUGACGGUACCCGAAUAAGAAGCACCGGCUAACUACGUG